UCUCUUUCACAGCAAGCCCCAUUGCCAUUUAUUUUUGCAAUGCAUUCAUGAUCUAUCUUCUAGCUCUUGUACUCUCUCAUAUUUUGUCUAUGCAAGUGUAUUUCCAGAGGCGGUUCAUUGCGAACUUAACUUCAGUUGAUUUGCUGUUGCUUUAGCUUCCAUUAUGAUUAUAACAAAAUUCUUGUGGUUAUAUUUGUUGCUGCCUAUAAUGGCUUAUGGAGGUGCACAUGCUAUCAACUUUGUCUUUUUUAACAGCUAGCAGUGUCCUUCCUACAGUAAUUCACUUGUCUUGCAUCCUCUGGUUCAAC
This 308-nucleotide long non-coding RNA is filed under the name Elaeis guineensis (African oil palm). RNAcentral describes it as "long non-coding RNA (EGUI_LNC048891)". Lineage: Eukaryota; Viridiplantae; Streptophyta; Magnoliopsida; Arecales; Arecaceae. The record is from RNAcentral.